ACGUAGGUGGCAAGCGUUGUCCAGAUUUAUUGGGUUUAAAGGGUGCGUAGGCGGCUUUGUAAGACAGUGGUGAAAUAUGGCAGCUCAACUGUCAGGGUGCCAUUGAUACCGCAGAGCUUGAGUACAGAUGAGGUAGGCGGAAUUGACGGUGUAGCGGUGAAAUGCUUAGAUAUCGUCAAGAACACCGAUAGCGAAGGCAGCUUACUGGGCUGUAACUGACGCUGAGGCACGAAAGUGUGGGGAUCAAACAGGA
Molecule: ribosomal RNA, 253 nt
Filed under: uncultured prokaryote
Description: partial 16S ribosomal RNA
Rfam family: Bacterial small subunit ribosomal RNA
Source: RNAcentral